GCCGGGCGCGGUGGCGCGUGCCUGUAGACCCGGCUACUCGGGAGGCGGAGGCGGGAGGAUCGCUUGAGCGCAGGAGUUCUGGGCUGUAGUGCGCUAUGCCUAUCGGGUGUCCGCACUAAGUUUGGCAUCAGCAUGGUGACUUCCGGGGAGCGGGGGACCACGAGGUUGCUAAAGGAGGGGUGAACCGGUCCAGGUUGGAAACUGAGCAGGUCAAAACUGCCAUGCCAAUCAGUAGUGGGAUCGCGUCUGUGAAUAGCCCCUGCACUCCAGCCUGGUCAACAUAGCCAGACCGUGUCUCU
This 299-nucleotide signal recognition particle RNA is filed under the name Cebus imitator (Panamanian white-faced capuchin). Its description in RNAcentral is "Metazoan signal recognition particle RNA (ENSCCAG00000007185.1)". It matches the Rfam family "Metazoan signal recognition particle RNA". From Rfam's summary of the family: The signal recognition particle (SRP) is a universally conserved ribonucleoprotein. Lineage: Eukaryota; Metazoa; Chordata; Mammalia; Primates; Cebidae. The record is from RNAcentral.